Molecule: ribosomal RNA, 465 nt
Filed under: uncultured bacterium
Lineage: Bacteria
Description: partial 16S ribosomal RNA
Rfam family: Bacterial small subunit ribosomal RNA
Source: RNAcentral
GACGAACGCUGGCGGCGUGCUUAACACAUGCAAGUCGAACGGAAAGGCCCCUUUGGGGGUACUCGAGUGGCGAACGGGUGAGUAACACGUGCGUAACCUGCCCUUGACUUCGGGAUAACUUCAGGAAACUGGGGCUAAUACCGGCUAGGAAUCCUUGCUGCAUGGUGGGGGUUGGAAAGCUUCGGCGGUUUUGGAUGGACUCGCGGCUUAUCAGCUUGUUGGUGGGGUAGUGGCUUACCAAGGCUUUGACGGGUAGCCGGCCUGAGAGGGCGACCGGCCACAUUGGGACUGAGAUUCGGCCCAGACUCCUACGGGAGGCAGCAGUGGGGAAUAUUGCACAAUGGGCGGGAGCCUGAUGCAGCAACGCCGCGUGCGGGAUGACGGCCUUCGGGUUGUAAACCGCUUUCAGCAGGGGCGAAGCUUGUGGUGACGGUACCUGCAGAAGAAGCACCGGCUAACUACGUG